GAAUGUUGCAACUCUUUAGAAUUUGUCUAGAAGGUUUUCCAGUUGCUACCAGAAACCCCCC
RNAcentral lists this small nuclear RNA (61 nucleotides) under Sorex araneus (European shrew). Its description in RNAcentral is "U7 small nuclear RNA (ENSSARG00000018828.1)". It matches the Rfam family "U7 small nuclear RNA". Rfam says of the family: Animal histone pre-mRNAs are spliced by a different mechanism than nuclear pre-mRNAs and self-splicing introns. This processing involves the U7 snRNP, which contains only one RNA species: U7. The record is from RNAcentral. Lineage: Eukaryota; Metazoa; Chordata; Mammalia; Eulipotyphla; Soricidae.